Molecule: long non-coding RNA, 663 nt
Organism: Helicoverpa armigera (cotton bollworm)
Lineage: Eukaryota; Metazoa; Arthropoda; Insecta; Lepidoptera; Noctuidae
Exons: 2
Source: RefSeq, a predicted model, not a curated record
UAGCUUAAAAAAGGUUGAAAACCAAAAGAAGAUGGAUCAAAAUUGCCCCACGUCCUACAACAAUGUGACGUAUCUCAAAAAAAAGAUAAAAAUGUAAAAAAAAUAUGGCAUACUCUGUAACUUAAUUUUUUUACACCUUCAUACAAAAAAAAUGCUUUGAAAAUUGUUCAGGCGCUGUUAUGAAAACAUCGAUCAUAAGACUAUUUAUAGACCAUUUUUUUAAAUUAUAUUUUUGUUUGAUAGUGUGUACCUCACAGGUGGUCCCAUAUUCAUCAGGUCAGGAUCUGAUGAUGGAAACCCUAAGAAAUCCAGGGCAACUUUUAAAAGUUGUAGGCAUGCGCAGGAUAAAAACUUUACAAUGAGGUGUAUGUCUGAUAACACUAUGCAACAGUGAAGGUUUGGAGCUGACCUGAUGAUGGAGACGAAAGAGGGUCGAGGGAAAUCAACAACUGAAUAUGUAAACUACCUCGUGUUUGGGCUUAUAUAUUAUUUGUAUUGAAUAGACCUUUACAACAGUGAAAUUUUGGAGCUGACCUGAUGAUGGAGACCAGAGAAGGUCAAGCGAACUCGACAACUGAAUAUGUAAACUACCUCGUGUUUGGUCGUAUAUUAUUCGUAUUGAUGAGAACUUUCCACUAAUACGGAUAGUAACAACUAAGCUUG